RNAcentral lists this non-coding RNA (117 nucleotides) under Gorilla gorilla gorilla (western lowland gorilla). The record is from Rfam by way of RNAcentral. Lineage: Eukaryota; Metazoa; Chordata; Mammalia; Primates; Hominidae.
GCCGGGCGUGGUGGCUCACGCCUGUAAUCUCAGCACUUUGGGAGGCUGAGGCAGGCGGAUCACUUGAGGUCAGGAGCUUGAAACCAGCCUGGCCAACAUGGUGAGACCCUGUCUCUA